UGCUCUGUCUCUCUCUGUCCCAAAAAUAAAUAAACGUUGAAAAAAAAAAAAUUAAAAAAAAAAAAAUGGCUGCACCAUUUAUCUUCCACGUCCGUAGUGCAUGAGAGUUCUGGUUUUCUUCUCUCCUUGACAGCCUUUAAUAAUACCUGACUUUCUAAAAUGACAUUUUACUCUUGAUUUUAAAUUACAUUUUUGUAAUUGCUAAUAAGAUUGAACAUUUCUUCAUAUACUAUGGACUACACUCAUCAUAGUCUUGUUAUUGGCUUCCUAUUUUUUACUGAUUUGUGGAAGUCAUUCUAUAUUCUUAGAUAUUAACUCCUUAUCUUUUAUUUUAGGUUUGCAGAUAUACUCUGAAGCAUUGUCACUGGUUUCCUUCAUUGGCUUUCAUUUUGAUGUUACAUCUAUACAUUUCCCCCCUCAUUGACCAUACUUUUUUGGAUCUUAAGUCCUUUCUUAUACUAGUAUCACAAUAAUGUUCUUUUAUAAAGUUUUACAGUUUCCUCCUUUACAUCUAGGUCUUUUUUUUGGAAUUUAUUUUGGUAUAUGAUUUAAGAUAGUCACCAAGCUUUAUUUUUUUCUGUAUAAUGAGCUAAUUUUCCCAGUACCAUCUACUAAAUCAUUCCUAAUUGAUUUGUGAUGCCAUCUUUUUCAACUGUCAGGUUUCUACAUAUGCAAGGGUAUAUUUCUGAAUUUCCCAGUCCGCUAACUGUUCUGCUAACCAGUGUCACCUUGUAUAUUUAUCACUGAGCUGAGUAAUGUCUUAAGUACGGGAGAUUCCCUACCCUAUUUGCUGCUCAUUUUGAAAUUAGUCUUUGUAAACCUUCAUUUUUCUAUAUCAAUUUUGGAAUAACCUUGUCAAGUCCCCCAAAGUCCUGUAGAGUUUUAAUUGGAAUUGCUUGAAUUGAAUAGGUCCCUUUUUAUGUCAUUUAAGAGUGUCUAAAGAUCUUGAGCAUUCUUUGCUAUGUCAACUUCUGAAUCUUUAUAGUUUACACUACUUUAUUUCCUAAAAUAUUUUCUAGUUGGUUAUUGUUGGGGUAGAAGAAUGAUAUUGAUAUUUGCAUACAGAUUUUCUUUAAUCUAUCAGCCUUGAUGAACCUUAUUCUAUCAAUAGUUGGUCUGUUGAUUCAUCUGUGUUUUUUAUGUAAUUAUAUUAUCAAGAAAAUAAUUAUAUUUUUAUGCAUUUCUUUACAUCCCUAGAUCUCUUAUUUCUUUAUCUUAUCUUACUGCAUUGCUCAGGAUCUCCCAAAACAUAUUGAACAGAAGGGAUGACAGCUAGCAUUCUCAUCUCAAAGAAAAAGCAUCUUGAGUUUCUCCAUCAGGGCUGCCUGGAAUCAGAGGAGAGAUAGAUCUAGGCCUGCUCUUCUGGAACCAGGUCAGAUCUGAGCAGUUGGGGUUGGAGGCCCUGGUGGAUUCAGUGCUCAGGUAGAUCUGGCUAGAUGGGGGCCCCCAAAUGUGGGCAAUGAUGCACGGGAGCUGAAAGAAUUCACGUGAGGCAGAACAAAGAAGAUAGAAGUUUAUUGAAUGUACUACAAAGGAGCAGGGGGAAGGACAGCAGAGGAGAGACUGUCUGCCAUGAAGUAGUGGGAAGGGGCUGCUUUUAAGGUAUGACAAUGUAUGGAA
Molecule: long non-coding RNA, 1620 nt
Organism: Felis catus (domestic cat)
Lineage: Eukaryota; Metazoa; Chordata; Mammalia; Carnivora; Felidae
Exons: 3
Source: RefSeq, a predicted model, not a curated record